CCAAUAGCGUAUAUUAAAGUUGUUGCAGUUAAAAAGCUCGUAGUUGAAUUUCGGGAUCAGUACGCUGGUCGUGCCUCCGGUAUGUACUGGUGUCACUGAUUCCUCCCUUCUGAAGAACCAUCAUGCCAUUCACUUGGUGUGGUGGGGAAUCAGGACUGUUACUUUGAAAAAAUUAGAGUGUUUAAAGCAGGCUCACGCUUGAAUACAUUAGCAUGGAAUAAUGAAAUAGGACGUUGAUCCUAUUUUGUUGGUUUCUAGGAUUGACGUAAUGAUUAAUAGGGAUAGUUGGGGGCAUUAGUAUUCAAUUGUCAGAGGUGAAAUUCUUGGAUUUAUUGAAGACUAACUACUGCGAAAGCAUUUGCCAAGGAUGUUUUCAUUAAUCAAGAACGAAAGUUAGGGGAUCGAAGACGAUCAGAUACCGUCGUAGUCUUAACCAUAAACUAUGCCGACUAGGGAUCGGAUGAUGUUAAUUUUUUAAUGACUCAUUCGGCGCCUUACG
Molecule: ribosomal RNA, 499 nt
Filed under: uncultured Glomeromycotina
Lineage: Eukaryota; Fungi; Glomeromycota
Description: partial small subunit ribosomal RNA
Rfam family: Eukaryotic small subunit ribosomal RNA
Source: RNAcentral